This 460-nucleotide ribosomal RNA is filed under the name uncultured bacterium. RNAcentral describes it as "partial 16S ribosomal RNA". It matches the Rfam family "Bacterial small subunit ribosomal RNA", at positions 338 to 795 of the family's 1533-position model. The record is from RNAcentral.
CCUACGGGUGGCAGCAGUGAGGAAUAUUGGUCAAUGGCCGUAAGGCUGAACCAGCCAAGUAGCGUGAGGGAAGACUGCCCUACGGGUUGUAAACCUCUUUUAUCCGGGGGUAAAGGGGUUCACGUGUGGCUCUUUGAGGGUACCGGAUGAAUAAGGAUCGGCUAAAUCCGUGCCAGCAGCCGCGGUAAUACGGAAGGUCCGAGCGUUAUCCGGAUUUAUUGGGUUUAAAGGGAGCGGAGGCCGGAGUUGAAGUCCGCCGUGAAAUUUUGGGGCUCAACCCUGAAAGUGCCGUGGAAACUGGAGGCCUUGAGUGCGCGGAAGGCAUGCGGAAUGCGUGGUGUAGCGGUGAAAUGCUUAGAUAUCACGAAGAACUCCGAUUGCGAAGGCAGCCUACCGCAGCGCAACUGACGCUGAUGCUCGAAAGCGUGGGUAUCGAACAGGAUUAGAUACCCGGGUAGUC